UACAGAGGUCCCGAGCGUUGUUCGGAUUCACUGGGCGUAAAGGGUGCGUAGGUGGUGAGGUAAGUCGGAUGUGAAAGCUCCAAGCUCAACUUGGAAAUGGCAUUGGAAACUACCUUGCUAGAGGGUUUGAGGGGGGACUGGAAUACUUGGUGUAGCAGUGAAAUGCGUAGAUAUCAAGUGGAACACCAGUGGCGAAGGCGAGUCCCUGGAAAACUCCUGAACACUGAGGCACGAAAGCUAGGGGAGCAAACAGG
RNAcentral lists this ribosomal RNA (254 nucleotides) under uncultured bacterium. Its description in RNAcentral is "partial 16S ribosomal RNA". It matches the Rfam family "Bacterial small subunit ribosomal RNA", at positions 524 to 776 of the family's 1533-position model. The record is from RNAcentral.